CCUACGGGGGGCAGCAGUGGGGAAUAUUGCACAAUGGGGGAAACCCUGAUGUAGCAACGCCGCGUGAGUGAGGAAGUAUUUCGGUAUGUAAAGCUCUAUCAGCAGGGAAUAGAAAAGAAGGUACCUGAAAAAGAAGCCCCGGCUAACUACGUGCCAGCAGCCGCGGUAAUACGUAGGGGGCAAGCGUUAUCCGGAUUUACUGGGUGUAAAGGGAGCGUAGACGGAAAGGCAAGCCAGGAGUGAAAGCCCGGGGCCCAACCCCGGGACUGCUCUUGGAACUGCGUGGCUAGAGUGCAGGAGGGGCG
RNAcentral lists this ribosomal RNA (305 nucleotides) under uncultured bacterium. Its description in RNAcentral is "bacterial SSU rRNA". It matches the Rfam family "Bacterial small subunit ribosomal RNA", at positions 338 to 659 of the family's 1533-position model. The record is from RNAcentral.